RNAcentral lists this ribosomal RNA (486 nucleotides) under uncultured bacterium. Its description in RNAcentral is "partial 16S ribosomal RNA". It matches the Rfam family "Bacterial small subunit ribosomal RNA", at positions 28 to 507 of the family's 1533-position model. The record is from RNAcentral.
GACGAACGCUGGCGGCGUGCUUAACACAUGCAAGUCGAACGCUGAAGACCUGGCUUUUGUUGGGUUGGAUGAGUGGCGAACGGGUGAGUAACACGUGAGUAACCUGCCCUCUUCUUUGGGAUAACGCCCGGAAACGGGUGCUAAUACUGGAUAUUCACUGAUCUUCGCAUGGGGGUUGGUGGAAAGGUUUGUUCUGGUGGGGGAUGGGCUCGCGGCCUAUCAGCUUGUUGGUGGGGUGAUGGCCUACCAAGGCUUUGACGGGUAGCCGGCCUGAGAGGGUGACCGGUCACAUUGGGACUGAGAUACGGCCCAGACUCCUGCGGGAGGCAGCAGUGGGGAAUAUUGCACAAUGGGCGAAAGCCUGAUGCAGCGACGCCGCGUGAGGGAUGGAGGCCUUCGGGUUGUAAACCUCUUUCGCUCAUGGUCAAGCCGCAACUGUGGGUUGUGGUGAGGGUAGUGGGUAAAGAAGCGCCGGCUAACUACGUG